RNAcentral lists this long non-coding RNA (228 nucleotides) under Mytilus galloprovincialis (Mediterranean mussel). Lineage: Eukaryota; Metazoa; Mollusca; Bivalvia; Mytilida; Mytilidae. The record is from RNAcentral.
UGCUUCUCGCUAUAUUGAAGACCCAUUGGUGGCUUUCGGCUGUUGUCUGGUCUAUGGUCGGGUUGUUGUCUCUUUGACACAUUCCCCAUUUAGAUUCUCAAUUUAACGUAUCACAGAAACAUUUCAAUUUAAAACAUUACCAUCACUGAACAUGAAAUAGACCUAGAAAACAGAUCCUUAGUAAGAAUUCAAAUUUUGCAAAGUAUGCAUUUUAUAUAUGAAUUAAAG